This 505-nucleotide ribosomal RNA is filed under the name uncultured bacterium. RNAcentral's name for it is "partial 16S ribosomal RNA". It matches the Rfam family "Bacterial small subunit ribosomal RNA", at positions 28 to 507 of the family's 1533-position model. The record is from RNAcentral.
GACGAACGCUGGCGGCGUGCCUAAUACAUGCAAGUAGAACGCACAGUUUAUACCGUAGCUUGCUACACCAUAGACUGUGAGUUGCGAACGGGUGAGUAACGCGUAGGUAACCUGCCUGGUAGCGGGGGAUAACUAUUGGAAACGAUAGCUAAUACCGCAUAAUAUUAAUUAUUGCAUGAUAAUUGAUUGAAAGAUGCAACUGCAUCACUACCAGAUGGACCUGCGUUGUAUUAGCUAGUAGGUGAGGUAACGGCUCACCUAGGCGACGAUACAUAGCCGACCUGAGAGGGUGAUCGGCCACACUGGGACUGAGACACGGCCCAGACUCCUACGGGAGGCAGCAGUAGGGAAUCUUCGGCAAUGGACGAAAGUCUGACCGAGCAACGCCGCGGGAGUGAAGAAGGGUUUCGGAUCGUAAAGCUCUGUUGUAAGAGAAGAACGGGUGUGAGAGUGGAAAGUUCACACUGUGACGGUAUCUUACCAGAAAGAGACGGCUAACUACGUG